Long non-coding RNA from Triticum dicoccoides, 317 nucleotides. RefSeq lists it as uncharacterized. The transcript has 3 exons. Lineage: Eukaryota; Viridiplantae; Streptophyta; Magnoliopsida; Poales; Poaceae. The record is from RefSeq and is a predicted model, not a curated record.
ACCCUCAAGCUGACCACACCUAGCUUAGGUGGUGGAAUGAGGACACUCUCCAAGAGAACUUCUUAACACCAGACAUCUGGGUGAUAAAGAAGACCCCUCUUGGAAAAUUGGACCAGGAUAUGUGGGUGUGAUCCAGAAUUUUAUGCCUGUCAGGGCUAACUUGCACCUCCAUCCCUACGCCCCUUUGAUUACAUUUGCAAUUCAAUAUGCAAAUAAGCUGGAUGCUUGGAUGCCCGUGGGAGGUAACUACAUUUCUUCCGUUGCUGAAAAAGCUGAGGUGAAUUCUAUGACAGUGAGGGUUGAUGAUAGGAGCACAA